This 468-nucleotide ribosomal RNA is filed under the name uncultured bacterium. Its description in RNAcentral is "partial 16S ribosomal RNA". It matches the Rfam family "Bacterial small subunit ribosomal RNA", at positions 28 to 507 of the family's 1533-position model. The record is from RNAcentral.
GACGAACGCUGGCGGCGUGCUUAACACAUGCAAGUCGAACGGAAAGGCCCUGCUUUUGUGGGGUGCUCGAGUGGCGAACGGGUGAGUAACACGUGAGUAACAUGCCCUUGUCUUUGGGAUAACUUCAGGAAACUGGGGCUAAUACCGGAUAGGAGCUCCUGCUGCAUGGGGGGGGUUGGAAAGUGUCGGCGGUUGGGGAUGGACUCGCGGCUUAUCAGCUUGUUGGUGGGGUAGGGGCUUACCAAGGCUUCGACGGCUAGGCGGCCUGAGAGGUUGGCCGGCCUCCUUGGUACUGCGAUACGGCCCAGACUCCUACGGGAGGCAGCAGUGGGGAAUAUUGCACAAUGGGCGCACGCCUGAUGCAGCAGCGCCGCGUGCGGAAUGACGGCCUUCGGGUUGUAAACCGCUUUCGCCUGUGACGAAGCGUGAGUGACGGUAAUGGGUAAAGAAGCACCGGCUAACUACGUG